This 379-nucleotide ribosomal RNA is filed under the name Tiarina fusus. RNAcentral's name for it is "Tiarina fusa partial Eukaryotic large subunit ribosomal RNA". It matches the Rfam family "Eukaryotic large subunit ribosomal RNA", at positions 3097 to 3387 of the family's 3401-position model. The record is from RNAcentral. Lineage: Eukaryota; Ciliophora; Prostomatea; Prorodontida; Colepidae.
AGCUACCAUCUGUCGGAUUAUGGCUGAACGCCUCUAAGCCAGAAGCCCUGCUAGGAACGACGAUGAUGUUCCUUCCCGGCCUCGGAAAAAGAUGCCUAUAGAGGAGAUUGUACUUUUCAUCUGAAAAGAACCAGUCCCUCGUACAUCAAAGUAACGCUCCGCUUACCUUUUUUGGUAAGCGAGACGAAAAAAAAAGCGACCCGCGUGAGUCAAGGGAAAACGCGGUUGCCAUAUAUUUUGGCUCUUUGUACCCUGAAGAUCCUACGAACGGGCCGGGAAAGGCAAGAUCCCAUGUAGACGACUUGGAAAUGAGGGCCCGGGUAUUGUAAGGAGUAGAGUAGCCAGAGUUUGCUACGAUUUUCUGAGAUUUACCCCGAUG